RNAcentral lists this transfer RNA (73 nucleotides) under Mycobacterium koreense. RNAcentral's name for it is "Mycolicibacillus koreensis tRNA-Arg". It matches the Rfam family "tRNA". Rfam says of the family: Transfer RNA (tRNA) molecules are approximately 80 nucleotides in length. Their secondary structure includes four short double-helical elements and three loops (D, anti-codon, and T loops). The record is from RNAcentral. Lineage: Bacteria; Bacillati; Actinomycetota; Actinomycetes; Mycobacteriales; Mycobacteriaceae.
ACCCGUGUAGCUCAGCGGAGAGAGCGCCUGACUACGGAUCAGGAGGCCGGGGGUUCGAUCCCCUCCACGGGUG